CAGAGAACAUCGCCCUCACGGGGGUGACUCUCCAACCCUUAUGUUAUUAAACCUUUGUUGCUUUGGCGAGCCGCCCCGGCCACCGGCUUUCCGCUGGUGAGUGCUCGCCAGAGGACCCCAAACUCUGAAUGUUAGUGUCGUCUGAGUACUAUACAAUAGUUA
RNAcentral lists this unclassified non-coding RNA (162 nucleotides) under uncultured Xenopolyscytalum. Its description in RNAcentral is "sequence contains ITS1". The record is from RNAcentral. Lineage: Eukaryota; Fungi; Ascomycota; Leotiomycetes; Helotiales.